This 2069-nucleotide unclassified non-coding RNA is filed under the name Hevea brasiliensis (rubber tree). Lineage: Eukaryota; Viridiplantae; Streptophyta; Magnoliopsida; Malpighiales; Euphorbiaceae. The record is from RNAcentral.
UUGAGGAAAUUACAGAAGAAAAUUUUUGUUAGGGAAUCGAAAUUCUUACAAAGCAUUUCCAAAUAUCAGAAAGCUAAUAUUGAGCAACAAAAUUAGUAUCAAUAUUAAUCAAGAUCCAAUACUUGUUCUUACUUCUUACAAAGAAAUUUUAGUUUGGAAAAAGAGUUCAUUUCAAUACUUAUAAAGAAAAAAGCAUUCAACCAGCCAUUGAAUUCAAAUCACCACCAUUGUCCUUGGAAGAACAGGCACCAUCAGAUUUGUGAUUGUGAUGAUCAUGAUCAUGAUCAUUGUCAUCAUCGCUGCAGUCCUCGUCAAAGGGCUUGUCCUUGUGGAAGAUGCAACACUUUUUGGAGCUUUUCUUCUUCAUGAACUCAUUGUCGACAGUGCCCUCUUUCCAAGUAACCUUCUUCUUCUUCCGAUUUACUCCCUCCUUAGCCUUACUUCCUCCUCCCACACCCCCAUCCGAACAGACAUUUAGUCGCAAAACUAGGGUUUGUGGUUGCUGUUGUUGGGCAGGGUUUUCCAUGGUGACUGUGGUGGUGACAGUGGAAGAAGACAUUGAUGUUGGUCGCAUCAUGGCAGUGUGGGUUGUGGUGGUGCUCGUAGGUUGAACCAUCAUUCAACUGAGAAAUUUUGCAAAGCCUCAAAAGCAGAAAUAAUAGGAGAGAUAUGGCACAAAACAAGUACUGAUAAACAAUACCUAACAAAUAGGAGAGCACAAUGAACACCAAGCGAAUUUGAAAGAACUAAUAGUCUAUAAUCACAUUAAAGUACCCCGUUCAAUUCAGCAUCAGCAACUUUUAAAUCAUCACCAAAAUCCAGACAAAAUUUAUCACCGACCCAUUCAUUUAACACUAGGGUUGAAUAGAAAGGCCGCUAAUGAAAGACAGUGUUCUUUCUUUAAAAAAAAAAAAAAUUCUUUAAUUCAUUAAGCCGAAAAAAAAUAAAAGCAUCCAUUACCAUUACUUAAAAAAAGAAAAAAGAAAAGACAGCCGCAAACAACUAUAAGCCUAAAGACUCACCCGUGCCCAGCUAGACAAACAAACGAAUACCUUGUGGGCAGGAUAACAACUUCUCUUUCCUAGAUAUUCCCAACUUAUAGAACACAAUUCUUGUUCACUACAAAAGAAACAGAUCAUAGGCCCCGUGCCAGCAAAUCAUAAGAAAACAGAAUUCACACAAUCAGAAGUCUCCCCUAUAAUGUUAGAAAAUUUAUAAAAUAAGACCCAAAUCAAAAGCAUUUAACCAUCGAUUUAUAACUUAGGCCACUGAUAAGCGUAGAUAGAGAGAGAAGGAGGAAAAGUGUGAAUAACCUGGUUGUGAAUUGCAAUGAUGAAUGCAGCAAACAGAAGAAAGCAAAAACCCGUAAGAAAUUGGUAUCUGUGGCGAGAAAGGAAGCAAACCCAGUCUUUAUUUUUUUGCAGAUGUGAGAAACAACUAAUUCACAGGUAAUCUAUUCUAUUUUUUCAAUAUUAAAUUGCAAUAUUUGUUUCAACACUCACUAUGAAUGAAGAUCAUACGCAAAGUGAUCAAUGGAUUCUCUAAAUAAGAAUCGAAGAAAAAAAAAAUUUAAGCCCUAAACAAAAGCGGCGAAAAAAUCCCAAAAAAUUGCACAAGCCAAUGCAACCAUAAUCUUUUACACAUCCUCUUCUCUCACUAUAUAGCAAGAAGCAAAAGCCAAUUUUACAAUUUUUCUACAGAUUCAUUCUCUCCCGCGAAAAAUACAGAAAAAAAAAAAAGAAGAAAGAAACCAACAGGUAAAAAAGAUUAAGGCAAUUGCACAAAAGGAAAAAAAGCAUAAUCAAUGAACCAUUCAACUCAAAACCGAAACCCAUAAAAUUUUGAGAUGGGCGAAAAGGAGGACGGAGAUGGGUGGGGUUAAGUUUACCCACAGAAUUAGGGUGAGAUUGAUGGAGAAUAGAAUGUUAACAAAUUUGAGAUGGGUCCAUGCAUUUGCAAGAUAGACAAUUGAGCUUUACCUUAGAUAAAAGUCCGCUGCUCCAAAAAUGAAGACGAAUUGCAGAGACGCUUUGUCGAAGAGAGAGACGGAAAGAAAAUUUCGUCGGAAG